UGGACUACAGAUAGCUGUGUUAGUACCAGUCCUACUGGACCCCAGAAUAGGUAAGAGUUGUGAUGAAGGGAAGUCAUUCCUGACUGAAGUCCCAGACUCCCCUGCUGCUGCUGCUUACCACACUAUAGUACAGAGUAUCCAGGCCUACUGCUUGUCCCAUGUGACACGGGAGGAGAGUGCUGUCUAGAAGCCAGUCUGGAGGCCGCCAUGUUGCUCUGGAUGCCAGGGACGGAUCACAUGUCCAGGGUCCUACUGUCUGGAGAAUGAAUUAAUCACAUAGUGUCUCAGAGUAGUACUGCUGAUGUAGGAUCAGGACCCCCAUUCACAAAGUGUCUGAGUAGUACUGCUGAUGUAGGAUCAGGGCCCCCCAUUCACAAAGUGUCUGAGUAGUACUGCUGAUCAGCCCCCCCCCCCCCAUUCACAAAGUGUCUCAGAGUAGUACUGCUGAUGUAGGAUCAGGACCCCCAUUCACAAAGUGUCUCAGAGUAGUACUGCUGAUCAGGACCCCCAUUCACAAAGUGUCUCAGAGUAGUACUGCUGAUGUAGGAUCAGGACCCCCCCAUUCACAAAGUGUCUCAGAGUAGUACUGCUGAUGUAGGAUCAGGGCCCCCCCAUUCACAAAGUGUCUCAGAGUAGUACUGCUGAUGUAGGAUCAGGGGCCCCCAUUCACAAAGUGUCUCAGAGUAGUACUGCUGAUCAGGACCCCCAUUCACAAAGUGUCUCUGAGUAGUACUGCUGAUGUAGGAUCAGGACCCCCAUUCACAAAGUGUCUCAGAGUAGUACUGCUGAUGUAGGAUCAGGAGCCCCCAUUCACAAAGUGUACAGUUCUGUUACUCUGAGACUGUGAAUAUGGGACCUGAUCCUAGAUCUAGUUCUCUUACUCAGUGUGUGAGUAUGGGACCUGAUCUUAGAUCUAGUUCUGUUACUCUGAGACUGUGAGUAUGGGACCUGAUCCUAGAUCUAGUUCUGUUACUGAGACUGUGAAUAUGGGACCUGAUCUUAGAUCUAGUUAUGUUACUCUGAGACUUGUUUGUGAAUAUGGGACCUGAUCUUAGAUCUAGUUAUGUUACUCUGAGACUUGUUUGUGAAUAUGGGACCUGAUCUUAGAUCUAGUUAUGUUACUCUGAGACUGUGAAUAUGGGACCUGAUCCUAGAUCCAGUUCUGUUACUCUGAGACUUGUUUGUGAAUAUGGGACCUGAUCUUAGAUCUAGUUAUGUUACUCUGAGACUGUGAAUAUGGGACCUGAUCCUAGAUCCAGUUCUGUUACUCUGAGACUUGUUUGUGAAUAUGGGACCUGAUCUUAGAUCUAGUUAUGUUACUCUGAGACUGUGAAUAUGGGACCUGAUCCUAGAUCCAGUUCUGUUACUCUGAGACUUGUUUGUGAAUAUGGGACCUGAUCCUAGAUCCAGUUUGAAUAUGGGACCUGAUCCUAGAUCCAGUUCUGUAACUCUUAAGACUUGUUUCUGAAUAUGUGUACAGCUCUUUAGUAUCACAACUUUGACUUUUUUUUUUUAAUUGAUAGUUCACCUGAAAUUAUAUUUUGAUUUCCUUACCCUGUAAGCAUUCUUGGGACAAAGACUAAAUUGUAAUUAAUAAAAAAUUUAAAAAGAC
Long non-coding RNA from Salvelinus fontinalis (brook trout), 1612 nucleotides. RefSeq lists it as uncharacterized. The transcript has 3 exons. The record is from RefSeq and is a predicted model, not a curated record. NCBI's taxonomy places the organism in Eukaryota, Metazoa, Chordata, Actinopteri, Salmoniformes, Salmonidae.